GAUACCAUGUCCAGGUGUCUGGCUUAAAGUCUUGUGAAACAAAUGCAUCAGUGGGUAUUUCCUAAAAGCAGAACCUUUUUCAAUCUUAUUGUUAGUGUUUGUGGAGUAUGACAGGGAUGCUACUGGAAAAUGGUGGUUUGAAAAUGGUGCAGCUGUGAAACGGUCCUCCUUCAACAACCACCCUGACUCUGCACUGGCAGAACUCUUUCUUAGGACCACCAGCAAUGAAAGCUUCCCCAGCCUCUUGUGCAGACAGGUUACUUGUACGUUCUCAGGACUGCAGACUAUUAGACAUCUAUUUCUUACAACAGAAGGAUGAUCUUUUUUUAUCAUCACCGCUUCAUCACAGCUUCAACAAGAAGGGUCUGAGACUCAACACUUUGUAUAGCCUUGUUGUCUGGGUUUCUGUGUGCAAAUCUCCUCAACAGCGUGAGACAUCUUCUGCUCUAUAACGAAGAACUUCACCACACAAAUUGCUAAGGAUUGUCCAUCAGAUUGACAUAAUUCUUACAGUAAUAACUUUUGUGUUUAAACGUUAUUCAUACUUCUGUAUCCUAUGAAAAAGUUUUAUAGUCUCAGCAACAAAAGCAGAUACACUGUAAGUACUCUGUAUGCCUUCAAUAUAUCAAUAAAUUGCUAUCUUUUUUUGCUUGAAACAUAUACAAAUCCCAUGCCAGUUUGUUUUAUUAAAUUACAUUUGUUAUUGAUAGGAACUUUGUUUCUGCACUUUAA
This is a long non-coding RNA of Falco peregrinus (peregrine falcon), 732 nucleotides long. RefSeq lists it as uncharacterized. Lineage: Eukaryota; Metazoa; Chordata; Aves; Falconiformes; Falconidae. The record is from RefSeq and is a predicted model, not a curated record. The transcript has 4 exons.